UACGAGGACGAACGCUGGCGGCACGCUUAACACAUGCAAGUCGAACGGAGUAAAUUGGAGCUUGCUUGAUUAACUAGUGGCGGACGGGUGAGUAACACGUGAGCAACCUGCCUUUGAGAGUGGAAUAGCUUCUGGAAACGGAUGGUAAUACCGCAUGAAAUUAUCUGACCGCAUGAUCGGAUAAUCAAAGAUUUAUCGCUCAAAGAUGGGCUCGCGUCUGAUUAGAUAGUUGGUGGGGUAACGGCCUACCAAGUCGACGAUCAGUAGCCGGACUGAGAGGUUGAACGGCCACAUUGGGACUGAGACACGGCCCAGACUCCUACGGGAGGCAGCAGUGGGGAAUAUUGCACAAUGGGCGGAAGCCUGAUGCCAGCGAUGCCGCGUGGAGGAAGAAGGUUUUCGGAUUGUAAACUCCUGAUCUGAGGGACGAUAAUGACGGUACCUCAGGAGAAAGCUCCGGCUAACUACGUGCCAGCCGCUGC
RNAcentral lists this ribosomal RNA (482 nucleotides) under uncultured bacterium. RNAcentral's name for it is "bacterial SSU rRNA". It matches the Rfam family "Bacterial small subunit ribosomal RNA", at positions 26 to 518 of the family's 1533-position model. The record is from RNAcentral.